This 1333-nucleotide long non-coding RNA is filed under the name Chrysemys picta bellii (western painted turtle). RNAcentral describes it as "lncRNA (ENSCPBG00000027453.1)". The record is from RNAcentral. Lineage: Eukaryota; Metazoa; Chordata; Testudines; Emydidae.
AUGGGAAGAGGGCUGAAGACUGAGCAGGAGAAAAAGCAAAGAACAACCUUGGACCUGCUGAGUGACUUGACGGAAUACCUGGCUGACGAUGGGAAGAAGAUCCCCAUUCCACCCCUCCCGGAGAACUUUGUGAUAUUGCCAGAAAUGAAUCAUACAUCUGAGGCCAUAGGGGAGAAUGUCAUCACUUCUAUCUUCUCCUACACAGUCUUCAAGAAACCUCAUUCCUUCUCUUGUACCCCUCAAACGGUGAGUGAUGCCCUCAGUGGAACAUCAUGGUGUUACUGUGGAGUCAGCGUCCUCCACCAAACCCUUCAGCCUCCUGGAUCAGCCUAGGAGGCUCCUGAUUUUAGGAGUCCUUUCCUAAGCACCUGCUUAUCUCCUGUUUUCACUGGCCCAGCACGGGGAGCUAUAGAGAAGGAGGUGCGUUAGAGCACAGCAUCCAACUGUCCUGCAGCCUUAAGGCCUAUCCCCCUGGAUCUGAGCUCGGGUAGCUGGGCCAAGCCUCUGUUGGUGCUGCAAUGUCCGCGCCGCUUUUUUAGCACCCUAGCACAUGCCCUGCUACAUAGGUCUGUCUGCCUGGGCUGGGAGACUCGCUCCACACUGCAGGUAGACGUACCCUUAGCGACCAGGCUCGAGUGCUGGGCAGUAUAAUGGGUGGAGCGGUGCGGGGUUGCAGUCACUCUAGCUAUAUCAGUGUGGCCGCUGCUGGUUCGAGGACGUGCUUGAAGAAGGAUCUCUGAAUGAAGGGUUUUUGGGGGUAGAGUAUAAGGGGAGUUGGAGAUUACCAGAGGCAUGGGGCAUAGACAAAGGGGAAAGCCAAGGGAGGGAACGGGAGGUCAGCCAGGGAGAGGAGGUACAAGAGGGAAAAUUAAGGGGGGAAUUCAAGGGAAGACCAGGGAGGAUUAAGUUGGGAGUACAGGCAAGAGGCUGAAUAUAUGCAAACAAGGCAGUGCGUGUUCAUUAAAUAUACAUUUUUUUAUGCAAAUGCAGAAAUAGUCUAAUCUCCAGCUUUCUAGGCCUGGAGCCUGAUCAGGUAUGGUACUGCCUCCGCGGGGUUUGGAGAUCUCUGUGCAAAGCUAUAUCCUUACUGAUGCAGCCGUUUGUUCUUCAUUCACCUGAAACAGGUUGGAUUUAGUUAAUUAAAAGCUGUAGAAAGUCUGGGCUAGGAGGAAGAACCUACAGAAUAUGGUUAGAAUUAAAAAAAAGCCAAUGGAGAAGAGCCAAAUAGCACUGAAGACCUUUACUGACCCUGCCAGGUGGGGUUUCAUUCCUGGAAACUCAGCACAAUACACAGAGCUUAGUGGGAACAAGGACAGAGAUCUAGUCAGCUAAA